Phasianus colchicus (ring-necked pheasant) is the source of this 204-nucleotide non-coding RNA. The record is from RefSeq and is a predicted model, not a curated record. NCBI's taxonomy places the organism in Eukaryota, Metazoa, Chordata, Aves, Galliformes, Phasianidae.
GUCAUCUACGCAGCAGAGCACAUUCGUGCCCUUCCUGUGCCAGGCGGUGGUCAUCCUCACCCGCUGUCACACUGAGGCCGUGAUGAACAACUUCUCCCGGCCGCCUGGACCCACAGACAGUGAGACGUGGAAGAGAAUAAGAGAGUUCUGCCUUCAACGGUGGAGCCGGUAGAAGAAAAAGGAAGAAAAAGAAAAGGAAACGAA